AACGCGAAGAACCUUACCUACUCUUGACAUCCAGAGAACUUAGCAGAGAUGCUUUGGUGCCUUCGGGAACUCUGAGACAGGUGCUGCAUGGCUGUCGUCAGCUCGUGUUGUGAAAUGUUGGGUUAAGUCCCGCAACGAGCGCAACCCUUAUCCUUUGUUGCCAGCGAUUCGGUCGGGAACUCAAAGGAGACUGCCAGUGAUAAACUGGAGGAAGGUGGGGAUGACGUCAAGUCAUCAUGGCCCUUACGAGUAGGGCUACACACGUGCUACAAUGGCAUAUACAAAGAGAAGCGACCUCGCGAGAGCAAGCGGACCUCAUAAAGUAUGUCGUAGUCCGGAUUGGAGUCUGCAACUCGACUCCAUGAAGUCGGAAUCGCUAGUAAUCGUAGAUCAGAAUGCUACGGUGAAUACGUUCCCGGGUCUUGUACACACCG
This 434-nucleotide ribosomal RNA is filed under the name uncultured bacterium. RNAcentral's name for it is "bacterial SSU rRNA". It matches the Rfam family "Bacterial small subunit ribosomal RNA", at positions 958 to 1392 of the family's 1533-position model. The record is from RNAcentral. RNAcentral also lists the same sequence under 1 other name.